This 540-nucleotide ribosomal RNA is filed under the name Neofusicoccum parvum. RNAcentral describes it as "eukaryotic LSU rRNA". The stretch from base 183 to 336 matches the Rfam family "5.8S ribosomal RNA". The record is from RNAcentral. Lineage: Eukaryota; Fungi; Ascomycota; Dothideomycetes; Botryosphaeriales; Botryosphaeriaceae.
AGGUUACGACAUGAUUCGAGCUCGGCUCGACUCUCCCACCCAAUGUGUACCUACCUCUGUUGCUUUGGCGGGCCGCGGUCCUCCGCACCGGCGCCCUUCGGGGGGCUGGCCAGCGCCCGCCAGAGGACCAUAAAACUCCAGUCAGUGAACUUCGCAGUCUGAAAAACAAGUUAAUAAACUAAAACUUUCAACAACGGAUCUCUUGGUUCUGGCAUCGAUGAAGAACGCAGCGAAAUGCGAUAAGUAAUGUGAAUUGCAGAAUUCAGUGAAUCAUCGAAUCUUUGAACGCACAUUGCGCCCCUUGGUAUUCCGAGGGGCAUGCCUGUUCGAGCGUCAUUUCAACCCUCAAGCUCUGCUUGGUGUUGGGCCCCGUCCUCCACGGACGCGCCUUAAAGACCUCGGCGGUGGCGUCUUGCCUCAAGCGUAGUAGAAAACACCUCGCUUUGGAGCGCACGGCGUCGCCCGCCGGACGAACCUUUGAAUUAUUUCUCAAGGUUGACCUCGGAUCAGGUAGGGAUACCCGCUGAACUUAAGCAUAUC